AACCUUAUGGACCUGCGGGCGUAUACCUGCGGAAGGAUCAUUAAAAAAGUUAAACCUAUCGUUAUGGGUUCUUAACUCAUAUCAACCUUGUGUGCACCUAAAUCUGAACCUGGUAGUUCUUAGCUUUUUGGUUAAGACUUGACUAGGACUUGCUUGAGAUUGAAUUCGGACUUAAGUUGGUGGUUAACUUACUAGUUAAGUUACUUAAGACUCUAGUUCGAGUUAAGAAUUUCGAGUAGG
RNAcentral lists this unclassified non-coding RNA (240 nucleotides) under soil metagenome. RNAcentral describes it as "partial contains 5.8S ribosomal RNA, internal transcribed spacer 2, and large subunit ribosomal RNA". The record is from RNAcentral.